UACGUAGGGUGCGAGCGUUAAUCGGAAUUACUGGGCGUAAAGCGUGCGCAGGCGGUUUUGUAAGACAGACGUGAAAUCCCCGGGCUUAACCUGGGAACUGCGUUUGUGACUGCAAGACUAGAGUACGGCAGAGGGGGGUAGAAUUCCACGUGUAGCAGUGAAAUGCGUAGAUAUGUGGAGGAAUACCGAUGGCGAAGGCAGCCCCCUGGGUCGAUACUGACGCUCAUGCACGAAAGCGUGGGGAGCAAACAGG
Molecule: ribosomal RNA, 253 nt
Filed under: uncultured bacterium
Lineage: Bacteria
Description: partial 16S ribosomal RNA
Rfam family: Bacterial small subunit ribosomal RNA
Source: RNAcentral